This 199-nucleotide ribozyme is filed under the name Choloepus hoffmanni (Hoffmann's two-fingered sloth). RNAcentral describes it as "Beta-globin co-transcriptional cleavage ribozyme (ENSCHOG00000015677.1)". It matches the Rfam family "Beta-globin co-transcriptional cleavage ribozyme". Rfam says of the family: Transcription termination of RNA polymerase II transcripts is proposed to occur by a two stage process. The first stage involves pre-termination cleavage (PTC) of the nascent transcript downstream of the poly(A) site. Lineage: Eukaryota; Metazoa; Chordata; Mammalia; Pilosa; Megalonychidae. The record is from RNAcentral.
GCAUAGCAUUACCAGCAAUAACAGCCUAAUUCCAUUUCCUCGUUCAUAAGCUACUUAUGUAAAUGCUAGAUUCUGAAUAAAAAAUAAAGAAGUUUAAGUGGUCCCUAACCUCUUCCUCACCCCAACCCCACCAAUUUUGAGUCUUGUUGGGAAGCUUCUGAAAAUAAAUCAUGUAGUAUGUGAUAAGUGAUCAUAAAAG